RNAcentral lists this ribosomal RNA (2219 nucleotides) under human gut metagenome. RNAcentral's name for it is "bacterial LSU rRNA". It matches the Rfam family "Bacterial large subunit ribosomal RNA", at positions 1 to 2216 of the family's 2925-position model. The record is from RNAcentral.
AUAAGAUAUCAAGGGCAACAGGUGAAUGCCUUGGCGCUGAGAGGCGAUGAAAGACGCGGUAAGCUGCGAUAAGCAUCGGGGAGGAGCUAAACAUCCUACGAUCCGAUGAUUUCUGAAUGGGGAAACCCGAUGGGAGUCAUGUCCCAUCAUCCUGAGCUGAAUAUAUAGGCCCAGAGAAGCCAACCCGGGGAAGUGAAACAUCUCAGUACCCGGAGGAAGAGAAAUCAAACGAGACUCCCAAAGUAGCGGCGAGCGAAAUGGGAAGAGCCCAAACCGAGUGGUUUCGACCAUUCGGGGUUGUAGGGCCGGCAUACGCGAUUCUGGAGUAGGCAGAGGAAGUGAGCUGGAAAGCUCCGCCACAGCGGGUGAUAGCCCCGUACUCGAAACCGAAAAGGACGCAGCCGGUACCUGAGUACUGCGAGGCACGUGGAACCUCGUGGGAAUCUAGGGGGACCAUCCUCUAAGGCUAAGUACUCCUCAGCGACCGAUAGUGAACUAGUACCGUGAGGGAAAGGUGAAAAGAACCCCUGUUAGGGGAGUGAAAUAGAAUCUGAAACCUGUUGCCUACAAGCUGCGAGAGCUACUUCGGUAGUGAUCGCGUGCCUUUUGUAUAAUGAGUCAGCGAGUUACUCUACCGUGCGAGGUUAAGCGAAAGCGUAGCCGUAGUGAAAGCGAGGCUUAAUAGGCCGACUAGUACGUUGGAGUAGACCCGAAACCGGGUGAUCUAUCCAUGAGCAGGUUGAAGCAAGGGUAAAGCCUUGUGGAGGACCGAACCGUCAACGGCUGAAAACGUUCCGGAUGACUUGUGGAUAGGGGUGAAAGGUCAAUCAAACCCGGUGAUAGCUGGUUCUCCCCGAAAUAUAUUGAGGUAUAGCCUCGGGAAUUGAUUAGCGGAGGUAAAGCACUGACAGAGCUAGGGGUCCUACCAGAUUACCAAACUCUAUCAAACUCAGAAUGCCGCUUAAUUGUAUCCCGGGAGUCAGACGGCGGGUGCGAAGGUUCGUCGUCAAAAGGGAAACAGCCCAGACCAACAGCUAAGGUCUCCAAAUCCAUGCUCAGUGGUGAAGGUAGUGGAACCGUUUAGACAGCCAGGACGUUGGCUUAGAAGCAGCCAUCGUUUAAAGAAAGCGUAAUAGCUCACUGGUCUAAUGGCUCUGCGCCGAAAAUGUAACGGGGCUAAGCAUGGUACCGAAGCUUUGGCAAUCCCCUUUGGGGAUUGGGUAGGGGAGCGUUCGCUGCGGGCUGAAGGUGUAUCGGAAGGUAUGCUGGACUGCAGUGAAGUGAUUAUGCUGACAUGAGUAACGAUAAAAUAUGUGAAAAACAUAUUCGCCGAAAACCCGAGGUUUCCUGGGUAAAGGUAAUCUUCCCAGGGUUAGUCGGAUCCUAAGGUGAGGGUGAAAGCCGUAACCGAUGGAAAACAGGUUAAUAUUCCUGUACUUGUUGUGUAGCGCGAUGGAGGGACGCAGGAAGAUAGGCGGGCCGGGUGUUGGAUAUCCCGGUGCAAGCGUGUAGGAAUAUCCGGUAGGCAAAUCCGCCGGACGAAUCUGAGACGCGAGUCCGUGGGCGCAAGCCCUGAAGCCGUUGAGUCUAUGCUGCCUAGAAAAGCUCCUAAGUUUAUCCACAGCAAUCCGUACCGCAAACCAACUCAGGUGGGUGGGAUGAACAAUCCAAGGCGCUCGAGAGAACUCUGGCCAAGGAACUCGGCAAAAUAACCCCGUAACUUCGGAAGAAGGGGUGCUCUCUAGGGUGACAUGUUUAACAUAUGAAGCCCCGGGGAGCCGCAGUGAAUUGGUGGUGGCGACUGUUUACUAAAAACAUAGGUCUGUGCGAAGUCCUAAAGACGACGUAUACGGACUGACGCCUGCCCGGUGCUGGAAGGUUAAAAGGAGGGGUCAGCGCAAGCAAAGCUCCGAAUUGAAGCCCCAGUAAACGGCGGCCGUAACUAUAACGGUCCUAAGGGAGCGAAAUUCCUUGUCGGGUAAGUUCCGACCUGCACGAAUGGCGUAACGAUCUCCACACUGUCUCGGCCAGAGACUCGGUGAAAUUGCAGUCGCGGUGAAAAUUCCGUGUACCCGCAGAAAGACGGAAAGACCCUGUGCACCUUUACUAUAGCUUGACAUUGGAUUUUGGGCCUGCAUGUGUAGGAUAGGUGGGAGGCUGUGAACCCUGUACGCCAGUAUGGGGGGAGCCAUCCUUGAAAUACCACCCUUGCAUGUUUA